Molecule: ribosomal RNA, 467 nt
Filed under: uncultured bacterium
Lineage: Bacteria
Description: bacterial SSU rRNA
Rfam family: Bacterial small subunit ribosomal RNA
Source: RNAcentral
UAAGGAAUAUUGGUCAAUGGAGGCAGCUCUGAACCAGCCAUGCCGCGUGCAGGAAGAAGGCCCUAUAGGUCGUAAACUGCUUUUGAACAAGAGAAAACCCCGGUACGUGUACUGGGUUGAUAGUAUUGUUAGAAUAAGCAUCGGCUAACUUCGUGCCAGCAGCCGCGGUAAGACGAAGGAUGCAAGCGUUAUCCGGAUUCAUUGGGUUUAAAGGGUGCGUAGGCGGACUGAUAAGUCAGUGGUGAAAUCUCUCGGCUUAACCGAGAAACUGCCAUUGAUACUGUUAGUCUAGAGUACAGAUGAUGUGGGCGGAAUAUGACAUGUAGUGGUGAAAUACUUAGAUAUGUCAUAGAACACCGAUUGCGAAGGCAGCUCACAAAACUGUAACUGACGCUGAGGCACGAAAGUGCGGGGAUCAAACAGGAUUAGAUACCCCUGUAGUCCCUGAGCGGGCUGGCAAGGCGCAU